Molecule: ribosomal RNA, 274 nt
Filed under: uncultured bacterium
Lineage: Bacteria
Description: partial 16S ribosomal RNA
Rfam family: Bacterial small subunit ribosomal RNA
Source: RNAcentral
AUACGGAGGGGACUAGCGUUGUUCGGAAUUACUGGGCGUAAAGCGUACGUAGGCGGAUCAGAAAGUAUGGGGUGAAAUCCCAGGGCUCAACCCUGGAACUGCCUCAUAAACUCCUGGUCUUGGGUUCGAGAGAGGUGAGUGGAAUUCCGAGUGUAGAGGUGAAAUUCGUAGAUAUUCGGAGGAACACCAGUGGCGAAGGCGGCUCACUGGCUCGAUACUGACGCUGAGGUACGAAAGUGUGGGGAGCAAACAGGAUUAGAUACCCUAGUAGUCC